Molecule: ribosomal RNA, 1174 nt
Filed under: Cytobacillus firmus
Lineage: Bacteria; Bacillati; Bacillota; Bacilli; Caryophanales; Bacillaceae
Description: bacterial SSU rRNA
Rfam family: Bacterial small subunit ribosomal RNA
Source: RNAcentral
GAGUUUGAUCCUGGAAGUCAGUAACGGCCGGGUGUCAUAACACGUGGGCAACCUGCCUGUAAGACUGGGAUAACUCCGGGAAACCGGGGCUAAUACCGGAUAACUCUUUUCCUCACAUGAGGAAAAGCUGAAAGAUGGUUUCGGCUAUCACUUACAGAUGGGCCCGCGGCGCAUUAGCUAGUUGGUGAGGUAACGGCUCACCAAGGCCACGGAUGCGUAGCCGACCUGAGAGGGUGAUCGGCCACACUGGGACUGAGACACGGCCCAGACUCCUACGGGAGGCAGCAGUAGGGAAUCUUCCGCAAUGGACGAAAGUCUGACGGAGCAACGCCGCGUGAGUGAUGAAGGUUUUCGGAUCGUAAAACUCUGUUGUCAGGGAAGAACAAGUACCGGAGUAACUGCCGGUACCUUGACGGUACCUGACCAGAAAGCCACGGCUAACUACGUGCCAGCAGCCGCGGUAAUACGUAGGUGGCAAGCGUUGUCCGGAAUUAUUGGGCGUAAAGCGCGCGCAGGCGGUUCCUUAAGUCUGAUGUGAAAGCCCCCGGCUCAACCGGGGAGGGUCAUUGGAAACUGGGGGAACUUGAGUGCAGAAGAGAAGAGUGGAAUUCCACGUGUAGCGGUGAAAUGCGUAGAGAUGUGGAGGAACACCAGUGGCGAAGGCGACUCUUUGGUCUGUAACUGACGCUGAGGCGCGAAAGCGUGGGGGAGCAACAGGAUUAGAUACCCUGGUAGUCCACGCCGUAAACGAUGAGUGCUAAGUGUUAGAGGGUUUCCGCCCUUUAGUGCUGCAGCAACGCAUUAAGCACUCCGCCUGGGGAGUACGGCCGCAGGGCUGAAACUCAAGGAAUUGACGGGGCCCGCACAAGCGGUGGAAGCAUGUGGUUUAAUUCCAAAGCAACGCGAAGAACCUUACCAGGUCUUGGACAUUCUUCCUGACAACCCUAGAAGAUAGGCCGUUUCCCCCUUUCCGAGGGAACAGGAUGAACAGGGAGGUGCAAUGGUUGUUCCGUCCACCUCGCGGUCGAGAAGAUGUUGGAGUUAGGUCCCCGCCAACCGACCGCAACCAUUGAAAUCUUUAGUUAGCCAAGCUUCAAUUGGGGCCACCUCUUAGGAACCUUGGCCCGGGUGACCAAACCGGAAGAAUGUUGGGGAAUGAACGACUCAAAUCCAU